UCAGGAUGACCCUCCAAGAGCGCUGCCUCUCUACUUAAUACUUCACCUCUCCGCCGAGUCGCCAUUGUUACCUUCAAUGACGAGGUAGUAGUGUAUGGUGAUGGUUCAGGUGUACCCGUCUCUCUGAGGGACUGGGCUCUAGUUGAUUAUGACUAUCUGAGACAACGGGGUCAACAGUACAACACUCCACACUGUAUAGCUGAGAGCUACCAACACCUCUCACUGAGAGUCAAAGAGUUCCGAGAACACGGGGCUACAGCGUUGGGUCCUGCAGCCUUGGUCUCCGUUGCCAUGGCGUCUCGAUUCGUGGGGUCAAAGGUGAUCUUGUGUACAGACGGGCGAGCUAACAUCGGAUUGGGUGAGAUGGAGGAGAGUCCCGCCCCUUUCUCCUCCCCCCAGUCACCUUACUUCUACAGACAGCUAGCCAACGAGGCAGCUAACAAAGGGUUAGUGUACGCCCUAACUA
Long non-coding RNA from Salvelinus sp. IW2-2015, 466 nucleotides. RefSeq lists it as uncharacterized. Lineage: Eukaryota; Metazoa; Chordata; Actinopteri; Salmoniformes; Salmonidae. The record is from RefSeq and is a predicted model, not a curated record.